Long non-coding RNA from Canis lupus familiaris (dog), 1630 nucleotides. RefSeq lists it as uncharacterized. The record is from RefSeq and is a predicted model, not a curated record. NCBI's taxonomy places the organism in Eukaryota, Metazoa, Chordata, Mammalia, Carnivora, Canidae. The transcript is spliced from 4 exons.
GAAUGUUCCAUUGUCUGCAUCAAUAAUCCAAGCAGAGAUGUGCUGAUUCAGAAAUGUAUCAGCUAUUAAGAUGGAGUGAGGCUUCAAAUUUUAAUAUCAAAAACCAAAAAACCAGUCCAAAUGUAGAGAACAUUUUGGUUUGUGGAACUUCACAAAUGCAGCUUCGAAUUUGAAACUGGAAGAUCUGAUGGAAAGACAAGUACUAAAUGCUCAAGCUACUGCAUGAAGCCCUUUGACUCAAAGCACCAGUGAUCGAAGACAAGGUCCUGCCAUCCAAAAGGAUUGUGUACAUAGGGGAGAUUGAAAUUGCUCUGCUUGGUGAUGAUGGUGAUGGUGAUGACGAAGAUGAUAGCAUUUAUACAGUGCUUGUUAUGUUCUGAGCACUUUAUCAUUUGUAUUAGACAAGCUUCUUUAAAGAAACAGAACCGGUAGGAGAUAAAAAGAGAUUUAUUAUGAGGAAUUGGCUCAUGUGAUUAUGGACACUGAGAAGUCCCACAAUUUACUGACUACAAACUGAAGACCCAGCUGGUGGUGUAAUUCAGUACAAGUCCAAAGGGUCAGAGAAGAUGAGAAGAGAUGUCCCAGCUCAAGCAUGCAGCAGGAAGCAAAAAGGGCAAAUCCCUCCUUCUACCUUUUGUUCUAUUCAAGCCCUCAUUGGAUUUGAUGAUGCCCACCCACACUGGGGAGGGCAAUCUACUUUACGGAGUCCACCGAUUCAAAUGCUAAUCUCAUCUGAAAACACUCUCUAAGACAUACCCUAAAAUAAUGUUUAAUCUGGACACCCCAUGGCCAGUCAAGUAGACAUAUAAAAUUAACCAUCACAGAUUUCAUCCUCUCCACCACUUGUGAUAGAUUCUAUUACUAUUGCUAUUUCAUAGAGGAGGGCAUAAAAAUUAGAGACAUUGGAUAAGUUUACCCAGUAUCCCCUAAUGAGUAAAUGAUGGUGGUGGGAUUCAAACCCAGGGAGUCUGAUCUAAAGACAAAUGCUUAAUCACUACACAGAGAUUCUCUUUUUGUUAGAAAAACAGAGAUAAAUUUUUAUUGUGGAUGAUUAACAAAGAGAACUAUGUAUUCAGUGAAUUGUCAGGAAAAUUGUUGAAUUGUCAUGAGAUCAAUUCAAAUAGAUAAUGUUCCAGAAUUAUCCUCUUCCCUCCCUAUGUCCUACACUCACUGAAAGAUUUUAUUCACAUUUUCACACUGUCUUAAUCCCUUCCCCCACCCACUCCAUGAUAGUCAGGGCAAGGUAUAGUUCAUGUUUCUUCGAAUUGGUACAUUUCUUUUUUUAAGAUUUUAUUUUUUUAUUCAUGAAAGACACACAGAGAGAGAAAGGCAGAGACGUAGGCAGAGGAAGAAGCAGGCUCCGGGCAGGGAGCCCGAUGUGGGACUUGAUCCUGAGACCGUGGAUCACGCCCUGAGCCAGGGGCAGGUGCUCAACCGCUGAGCCACCCAGGCGCCCCUGAAUUGGUAUGUUUCUUGACAUGAGUUUUCUGACACAUCUCAUUUAUUUAUUUGAUGUGGCAGUUAGGAAACUCUGCAGUAAGUUUUAUGCCAUUUCUCAUAUAUUUUUUAGACAACUCAAUAAAUGAUAAUGUGUGUUUGGGGGGAUUUUAAUGUCUAUGUGGGUCAUUUU